Cotesia glomerata is the source of this 975-nucleotide long non-coding RNA. RefSeq lists it as uncharacterized. NCBI's taxonomy places the organism in Eukaryota, Metazoa, Arthropoda, Insecta, Hymenoptera, Braconidae. The record is from RefSeq and is a predicted model, not a curated record. The transcript is spliced from 3 exons.
UACACUGGCUUCUGUUGAUAAUAUCAGUCAUUGAUUUCUGUUUGUCUAUUCUCAGUAAAGAGAUAGAAGUGUGAUUUUGUAAUUCUCCAUAUAAUACCAACUCAGUAUAAAAAUUAAAUAUUUAUUAAUAUUUAUAUUAAAAUUUCCUCUAGCAGGCUGAACAGUUUGGUUUAAAUGUCAAUCUAACCUCGUCAAGUUAACCAAAAGUUUAAUUCAGUUUCAAUAGUUUGAUCUAAGUAUCAAAUUCGUCUCAUAAGUUUCGAUUCAAGCUUCAAAUUUUGAAGUCGCCUUUGGCGUGGGUGACAAUAUUGCGCGGGUUGGAAUCACCUACUUUCCUCCCUAGAUACGUAAAGUAUUCCCAUUUUUCAAUCAAAAUCGACAUCUUCGUAUGCAGAUACAUUUUGGUAUUGAGGAUGGAAAGAAGAUAGAAUCAGCCGAUAUACAUUUGCAAGUAGCCAGAGACACCUAUAUUCAUGCAUAAAAUAUUGGCAAUAUCGUAUCGAUUGACCGUCUGACUGCAGCGUUUUCGUUCCUCUUUUCUUAUUUACUUCAUGCAUAUUUUACCGGACCUUUAUGUAGUUAUGCAGGAUUAUGCUACGUUCAACUGCCUGGCAUAGAAUUACACCUCCGAUAUCUUAUUUUAAUUUUAGCCAAUUCGUUGUCUUUUGACAGUUAGUAAGUUUCUCAUUUCUCGUUUCCGUUCUUCAGUGUUAUUCAAAGAGAUAGACAUUGAUUACUCUUAUUAUUUUAUCACUAUUAAUACAGAGUUAGCUAAAGUUGUUCAAGUGACAUCACGAUUAAUAAUGAUGAAAUUAACAAUGAUCUUUUCAAUUGUCUUAUUUAACUUUUCAAUGUUGAUUUUUUUCUUUUCACUAUUAAUAAAUGUUAAUGCAAAGUAUGUUCAGAUAGUAAAUGAUGUAAACUUAAGCAAGCUAUGUUUAUUCAUCUUAACCUGCCAACUUUUCUUUUAGAAAA